This 839-nucleotide ribosomal RNA is filed under the name Torula sp. RNAcentral's name for it is "partial large subunit ribosomal RNA". It matches the Rfam family "Eukaryotic large subunit ribosomal RNA", at positions 64 to 919 of the family's 3401-position model. Lineage: Eukaryota; Fungi; Ascomycota; Dothideomycetes; Pleosporales; Torulaceae. The record is from RNAcentral.
ACCACCAGGGAUUGCCCUAGUAACGGCGAGUGAAGCGGCAACAGCUCAAAUUUGAAAUCUGGCUCCUUUGGGGUCCGAGUUGUAAUUUGCAGAGGGAGCUUUUGGCGUCGGUCGUGGUCUAAGUUCCUUGGAACAGGACGUCACAGAGGGUGAGAAUCCCGUACGUGGCCGCCGGCCUUCGCCUUGUAAAGCCCCUUCGACGAGUCGAGUUGUUUGGGAAUGCAGCUCUAAAUGGGAGGUAAAUUUCUUCUAAAGCUAAAUACCCGCCAGAGACCGAUAGCGCACAAGUAGAGUGAUCGAAAGAUGAAAAGCACUUUGGAAAGAGAGUGAAAAAGCACGUGAAAUUGUUGAAAGGGAAGCGCUUGCGGCCAGACGUGCCCGCGGUUGAUCAUCCAGGCUCCAGCCUGGUGCACUCCUCCGCGGGCAGGCCAGCAUCAGUUCGGGCGGUCGGAUAAAGGCCUCUAUCACGUACCACCCCUCGGGGUGGCCUUAUAGGGGAGGCGCAACACGGCCAGCCCGGACUGAGGUUCCGCGCAUCUGCUAGGAUGCUGGCGUAAUGGCAGCAAGCGGCCCGUCUUGAAACACGGACCAAGGAGUCUAACAUCUAUGCGAGUGUUUGGGUGUCAAGCCCGAGCGCGCAAUGAAAGUGAACGGAGGUGGGAACCCUUACCGGUGCACCAUCGACCGAUCCUGAUGUCUUCGGAUGGAUUUGAGUAAGAGCAUAGCUGUUGGGACCCGAAAGAUGGUGAACUAUGCCUGAAUAGGGUGAAGCCAGAGGAAACUCUGGUGGAGGCUCGCAGCGGUUCUGACGUGCAAAUCGAUCGUCAAAUUUGGGCAUA